GGCCAAUGAUGCAUUCAUAAAUUUGUCCGUACCAUAUGAGAAGUCAUUUUACUAAAGACUUCUUUGAUGCGUUCUUAGCUUCUGAGGCCU
Molecule: small nucleolar RNA, 90 nt
Organism: Rhododendron vialii
Lineage: Eukaryota; Viridiplantae; Streptophyta; Magnoliopsida; Ericales; Ericaceae
Product: small nucleolar RNA snoR117
Exons: 1
Source: RefSeq, a predicted model, not a curated record